Molecule: long non-coding RNA, 917 nt
Organism: Alnus glutinosa
Lineage: Eukaryota; Viridiplantae; Streptophyta; Magnoliopsida; Fagales; Betulaceae
Exons: 3
Source: RefSeq, a predicted model, not a curated record
GUCCCCUGCCUAUCAUUACUCUAGAAAAUUUUUGCCCCAAGACUUUCAAAAUCUCCAAACCCAAACGCUCCGCCACUGCCGCCCAAAGCCGACCAUCGUCGACCAUCCGUCGCAGCAACCUCCAAGCACCGGUGACCCCUCCGACCCAACCUCCAAUGACCUCAUAUCUGGUUUUCACCCAACUCGUUCACUGACUUGGGAUCCGUAUAUCCCUUCCCCUUUCAUUUUCACCUAAAAUCUCCCCAAAUCUCUCCCUCCAUCUCCAUCUUCCCUCUCCCCCCACCGAUCGCCGACCACGAGCAUCAACGCCGACCCAAUGGCCGAGCACUGGUGACACAGCAACUCCAUCUCCGGCAACCACAAAUUUCAAUUUUUUUUCCAACCGUGCCACCUCUCUCUUCAACCAUGCUCCUCCCUCUCCCCCCUUCACCACUGACGAUCCAGGCCACCAAAAUAGGGUUUGUGCACAUCAAGAACCUUGGAUCUAAGCUUCUGAUUCUCCUAAACGUUGCCAAUACUCAACUUCUAACGAAAAAUUUGAAAAAUAAGGUAAUGUUGAGAAGUUGUUUGAAGAACUUACAAAAGCUAGGUGUACCAGGUAUACAUUUGUAUACAAUACUUUGCUCAAAGCAUAUGUGAAGGCCAAGAAAUAUGAUCCAAAUUUUUUGAGAAGGAUGAUUCUAGGAGGGUCUAGGCCAGACUCUGAGACCUAUAGCCUGAUUUAACUUGCUGAGCAGUUUCGGAGGUAUUGUAAUCUGCUAUAAUACUCGUUUUCCUUGAUUUUUAGUGCAAAGAUGUGGCUUAUCAAAUUUGUGAGUAGAAAAGAAGUAGGAGAUUUGGGAGGAUCGUACAGUUAUUCUAGUUACAGCUGGGAUUAUAGUAUAGAUGCUUAAAGAAUAAUAUGCAGUUUUACUUGU